GCUUAACACAUGCAAGUCGAGCGGAGUGAUGGUGCUUGCACUAUCACUUAGCGGCGGACGGGUGAGUAAUGCUUAGGAAUCUGCCUAUUAGUGGGGGACAACAUUUCGAAAGGAAUGCUAAUACCGCAUACGUCCUACGGGAGAAAGCAGGGGAUCUUCGGACCUUGCGCUAAUAGAUGAGCCGAAGUCGGAUUACCUAGUUGGUGGGGUAAAGGCCUACCAAGACCACCAUCUGUAGCGGGUCUGAGAGGAUGAUCCGCCACACUGGGACUGACACACGGCCCAGACUCCUACGGGAGGCAGCAGUGGGGAAUAUUGGACAAUGGGCCCAAGCCUGAUCCAGCCAUGCCGCGUGUGUGAAGAAGGCCUUAUGGUUGUAAAGCACUUUAAGCGAGGAGGAGGCUACUGAAAUUAAUACCUUCAGAUAGUGGACGUUACUCGCAGAAUAAGCACCGGCUAACUCUGUGCCAGCAGCCGCGGUAAUACAGAGGGUGCAAGCGUUAAUCGGAUUUACUGGGCGUAAAGCGCGCGUAGGCGGCUAAUUAAGUCAAAUGUGAAAUCCCCGAGCUUAACUUGGGAAUUGCAUUCGAUACAUGGUUAGCUAGAGUGUGGGAGAGGAUGGUAGAAUUCCAGGUGUAGCGGUGAAAUGCGUAGAGAUCUGGAGGAAUACCGAUGGCGAAGGCAGCCAUCUGGCCUAACACUGACGCUGAGGUGCGAAAGCAUGGGGAGCAAACAGGAUUAGAUACCCUGGUAGUCCAUGCCGUAAACGAUGUCUACUAGCCGUUGGGGCCUUUGAGGCUUUAGUGGCGCAGCUAACGCGAUAAGUAGACCGCCUGGGGAGUACGGUCGCAAGACUAAAACUCAAAUGAAUUGACGGGGGCCCGCACAAGCGGUGGAGCAUGUGGUUUAAUUCGAUGCAACGCGAAGAACCUUACCUGGCCUUGACAUAGUAAGAACUUUCCAGAGAUGGAUUGGUGCCUUCGGGAACUUACAUACAGGUGCUGCAUGGCUGUCGUCAGCUCGUGUCGUGAGAUGUUGGGUUAAGUCCCGCAACGAGCGCAACCCUUUUCCUUAUUUGCCAGCGAGUAAUGUCGGGAACUUUAAGGAUACUGCCAGUGACAAACUGGAGGAAGGCGGGGACGACGUCAAGUCAUCAUGGCCCUUACGGCCAGGGCUACACACGUGCUACAAUGGUCGGUACAAAGGGUUGCUACCUAGCGAUAGGAUGCUAAUCUCAAAAAGCCGAUCGUAGUCCGGAUUGGAGUCUGCAACUCGACUCCAUGAAGUCGGAAUCGCUAGUAAUCGCGGAUCAGAAUGCCGCGGUGAAUACGUUCCCGGGCCUUGUACACACCGCCCGUCACACCAUGGGAGUUUGUUGCACCAGAAGUAGGUAGUCUAACCGCAAGGAGGACGCUUACCACGGUGUGGCCGAUG
This 1434-nucleotide ribosomal RNA is filed under the name Acinetobacter sp. IBP-SL7. RNAcentral describes it as "16S ribosomal RNA". It matches the Rfam family "Bacterial small subunit ribosomal RNA". The record is from RNAcentral. Lineage: Bacteria; Pseudomonadati; Pseudomonadota; Gammaproteobacteria; Moraxellales; Moraxellaceae.